RNAcentral lists this transfer RNA (84 nucleotides) under Flavobacteriaceae bacterium. RNAcentral's name for it is "tRNA-Leu". It matches the Rfam family "tRNA". Rfam says of the family: Transfer RNA (tRNA) molecules are approximately 80 nucleotides in length. Their secondary structure includes four short double-helical elements and three loops (D, anti-codon, and T loops). RNAcentral also lists the same sequence under 1 other name. Lineage: Bacteria; Pseudomonadati; Bacteroidota; Flavobacteriia; Flavobacteriales; Flavobacteriaceae. The record is from RNAcentral.
GCCCAGAUGGCGGAAUUGGUAGACGCGCACGACUCAAACUCGUGUUCCUCUGGAGUGCGGGUUCGAUUCCCGCUCUGGGCACAA